This 2353-nucleotide long non-coding RNA is filed under the name Homo sapiens (human). RNAcentral's name for it is "HSALNT0284067". The record is from RNAcentral. Lineage: Eukaryota; Metazoa; Chordata; Mammalia; Primates; Hominidae.
AGCAGUCUAUUUUCCAGUGUCCCCAUUUACCACAUGUAGGACAGGGCUUUGCUGGGGGCCAUGGGUUUGGGCAGGCCUUUGCCCAAAGUCCUGUGUUGCCGCAUCGAAAACAGGUGCCAGGGUCCUGAGAAGAUGAUCUUUCCUUAGAAACCCUCUGGAGGGCAGCAGCUAGGAUCUGCUUGAUAUCUGACCUAUUUCAAGCUAUGCAGCUAUUCUCAUCUGAAGUCAUCAGUUGGGAUGGAAACCAGUCUCUCAGCAGUACUUAAACAGGUCAGAAAGUUGCCAGCAGUUCCAAUCUAUUAUUUUUAUCUCAAAGGAAAAAUCAGCAGUAGAGUGGCUUCCCUCCUUCGACUCAGUUUCAGGGAAGGGGUGAGAACACCCUGUGAAGAGGAAGGCAGAGAUUGGAAUGAUGCAGAAGAAGCCAACGAAUCUAGGAGAGAGGCAUGAAUUUCCCCUUCAUAGUCCUUGUAAGGAGCCAACCCUGCUGCACCUUUAUCUCAAAUGUCCAGCUUCCAGAACUGCAAGACAGUAAAUUUCUGCUGUUUAAGACAAAAAAAAAAAAAGUUAAGCUUUAUAUGCACAAAGCAAGACAUUACUUAUAUUAAAUGUUGUAUCUGUGAUCUUUACAACAUUUGUCAAAUAGUCUAUUAGCCAAUCAGUUGGUAGGCAGAAGUAUCUAAAUCACAUAAAAUAAUUGUGCCUAAAUAAUUCUGGUAACUUAUGUAUAAUCCGUUGAACAUCUUGACAAUCACUAAUUUAACUAAUGCAAGUUUGUCAAAUAGGGGAACUGGGGAUCCUGAUACUAAUAUAAUUUUAGAAGAUGAACAACAGUAAAGCAUUUAUGGACUGAGAGCUUAAUGUGUUUAUUUCUUUUAAAAUUUUACAAACUGCUGGGUGUGUUGGCUUAUGCCUCUAAUCUCAGCACUUUGGGAGACUGAGGCAGGUGAAUUGCUUGAGCCCAGGAGUUCACGACCAGCUUGGGCAACGUAGUGAGAACUAAUUUCUACUAAAAAUUAAACAAAAAAAUAGUCAAGUGUGGUGGUACACACCUGAAAUCCCAGUUAUUCUGGAGACUGUGGCAGUAAGAUCAUUUGAGCCCAAGAUACUGAGACUACUGUGAGCCAUGAUUGUGCCACUGCACUCCAGCUCAGGCAACAGACUGAGACCCUGUCUCAAAAAUAAAUAAAUACAAAUAAAAUAAAAUUUUACAAACUUUCUGAUUUAGCAGUCACUAAAAACCACAUGAAAAAUCUAUUAUAUAUACACCAUCUUUUAAAAUAAAUACAUUGUAAUUUUGAAAAAUUGUGUUAUUUCCCUGAAAUCAACGUUAGCAAACAAUGGGGCUAAUAUAAAUCCAGAUAUGUUCAACUUCAAAGCCUAUACUACAAUUACUCUUGUAAAAAUAGUUUUCCAGUUAUGCCUCAACUUGUUUUAACUAGUGGAAAAAAAAAGCUUUCCAGCCCAUUAUGAGAAAGAAAAUUUAACUUCUCUAUUACAUAACUUGAUUACAUAAAUUACUAUAACCUAAUAAGUGCAGUUAACUUGACAUCCUCACUUAACAUAUGGAAGAGCACAUUUAUGACACAUUUAUAGACAUCAGUAUGGCAUUGUAUAUCAGAAAUUAAAAUGUGGAUAAGAUUUUGUCCCCCAAAUUUUACUACAAUAAAUUUGUUUUAAGGAAAUAUUGAAGUAGCAAAGAUGUAUGUUUAAGAAUAUUAAUUAUUACAGUGCUAAAAAAUAAAAUAUAGAACAAAAACUGAAUACAAAAUGUGACUAGAAUGUCAAAUAGAUGUCUACAUUCCCAUAUUUAUUGAAACAUUUUUCAUUAUAGCCAAGAUUUGCAAGCAACCUAAGUGCCUCUCAACAAAUAAAGAGAUUGUUUAAAUGUUUUGUGUGUGUGUGUGUGUAUAAUGGAAUACUGUUCAAUCUUUAGAAAAAAUAAAAUUCUGCAAUUUGCAACAACAUGAAUAAAGCUAGAGGACAUUUAUACUGAAUGAAAUAAGUCAUGUACAGAUAAACAAAUAUUACAUGCUCUCACUUAUAUGUGCAAGCAAAAAUUUGAGCUUACACAAGUAAGGGGUAAAAUGGUUACUACCAAAAACUAGGGCAGGAGUGCAUGGAGAAAGGAAAAUGUUGGUUAAAAGGUACAAAAUUUCAAUUAGAUAAGAGAAAAAAGUUAUGGUGAUCUAAUGCAUACCAAGUAAUUACAAUUAAUAAUAAUGAAUUUUCUAUUUAUAAUUGCAAAAAGGGGGAUUUUAAAUGUUCUUAACAAAAAUAAAUGUGAGAAUUGACAGAUAUAUUAAUUAACCUAAUUUGUUCAAUCCACAAUGUAUACCUGUAUCUAUGCAUCACA